GGGGAGCAUUAUUGAAAAUUUGAAAUAUUUUUGAAAAUCUGUGAAAACUUAAUGCAUUUGACUGUCUUAUAAUUAAAUCAUACAUAUUGUACAUCUUGAUCAUAAUAAUUAUUCUUUAAUGAGUGCUCAAUAUUUUGUCAUCAUUAAAAAGAGAAAAAUUGUUGCCCCCCCAAAGUGAUUUUGAUGAUGACCAAACAUUGAAGCACACAAUUACUAAUAUUUUCUUUUUAAGUGUGGAA
RNAcentral lists this long non-coding RNA (239 nucleotides) under Elaeis guineensis (African oil palm). RNAcentral's name for it is "long non-coding RNA (EGUI_LNC014941)". Lineage: Eukaryota; Viridiplantae; Streptophyta; Magnoliopsida; Arecales; Arecaceae. The record is from RNAcentral.